GCGGGUGUGGUGAAAUUGGUAGACGCGCCAGACUCAAAAUCUGGUGUCCGCAAGGACGUGCCGGUUCGACUCCGGCCACCCGCACCA
This 87-nucleotide transfer RNA is filed under the name Alphaproteobacteria bacterium. RNAcentral describes it as "tRNA-Leu". It matches the Rfam family "tRNA". From Rfam's summary of the family: Transfer RNA (tRNA) molecules are approximately 80 nucleotides in length. RNAcentral also lists the same sequence under 1 other name. The record is from RNAcentral. Lineage: Bacteria; Pseudomonadati; Pseudomonadota; Alphaproteobacteria.